ACGUAGGGCGCAAGCGUUAUCCGGAUUUAUUGGGCGUAAAGAGCUCGUAGGCGGUUUGUCGCGUCUAUCGUGAAAGUCCGAGGCUCAACCUCGGAUCUGCGGUGGGUACGGGCAGACUAGAGUGAUGUAGGGGAGACUGGAAUUCCUGGUGUAGCGGUGGAAUGCGCAGAUAUCAGGAGGAACACCGAUGGCGAAGGCAGGUCUCUGGGCCGCAACUGACGCUGAGGAGCGAAAGCAUGGGGAGCGAACAGGA
This 253-nucleotide ribosomal RNA is filed under the name uncultured prokaryote. Its description in RNAcentral is "partial 16S ribosomal RNA". It matches the Rfam family "Bacterial small subunit ribosomal RNA", at positions 525 to 777 of the family's 1533-position model. The record is from RNAcentral.